GCCCGCGUGGCGGAAUGGUAGACGCAGGGGAUUCAAAAUCCCCCGCCGAAAGGCUUGCCGGUUCGAGUCCGGCCGCGGGUACCA
This 84-nucleotide transfer RNA is filed under the name Palleronia abyssalis. RNAcentral describes it as "tRNA-Leu". It matches the Rfam family "tRNA". From Rfam's summary of the family: Transfer RNA (tRNA) molecules are approximately 80 nucleotides in length. Their secondary structure includes four short double-helical elements and three loops (D, anti-codon, and T loops). The record is from RNAcentral. Lineage: Bacteria; Pseudomonadati; Pseudomonadota; Alphaproteobacteria; Rhodobacterales; Roseobacteraceae.